RNAcentral lists this ribosomal RNA (429 nucleotides) under uncultured bacterium. RNAcentral's name for it is "bacterial SSU rRNA". It matches the Rfam family "Bacterial small subunit ribosomal RNA", at positions 355 to 776 of the family's 1533-position model. The record is from RNAcentral.
UCGAGAAUCUUUCGCAAUGGGGGAAGCCCUGACGACGCGACACCGCGUGAGCGAUGAAGGCCUUCGGGUUGUAAAGCUCUGUCGCUAGGGAGGAAAGACUCCGAAUGAAUAGUUCGGAAGUUUGACAUUACCUGGAGAGGAAGCCCCGGCUAACUCCGUGCCAGCAGCCGCGGUAAUACGGAGGGGGCAAGCGUUGUUCGGAUUUACUGGGCGUAAAGGGUGCGUAGGUUGGCAGGCAAGUGAAUCGUGAAAUCCUAAAGCUUAACUUUAGAACUGCGUUUCAAACUGCUUGUCUUGAGUAUUGGAGAGGUAAGUGGAAUUCUCAGUGUAGCGGUGAAAUGCGUAGAUAUUGAGAGGAACACCAUAGGUGAAGACGGCUUACUAUCCAAAUACUGACGCUGAGGCACGAAGGCAUGGGGAGCAAACAGG